Molecule: non-coding RNA, 1197 nt
Organism: Odocoileus virginianus texanus
Lineage: Eukaryota; Metazoa; Chordata; Mammalia; Artiodactyla; Cervidae
Source: RefSeq, a predicted model, not a curated record
AGCACCUACAAAACUAAUGCUUCUUUCUGUUGAUCAGGAACUAUCAUGAGUUUGAGCAAACUCUGGAAGACGGUGAAGGACAGGGAAGCCUGGCGUGCUGCAGGCCAUGAGGUCACAAAGAGUCAGACACGACUGAACAACACCAUGCUGGGAAAUGGAGGAAGGUAAAUGGUGGAGCUGAGAUUAAACCACAGCUGCAUGAAUCCAAGCCUUAGAUCUUGGCGACUCUGCGAUGUUGGGCAUUUCAGACCUGAAAGGGCACUUCCGUGCCACUCUCUCUAACUUCUUCUUGGACAGACAGAGCAACCGAAGACACACAGCUGGGGACAAAGCCCAGCUUAGAAGCCAGGUUUCCAGUCCCCCAGACUAACGUUCUAACUGCAAUGAGUUGCCAAAUGCAAAUUCCAUGCAGAUAACUUGGUCUGCUAUCUGUUCCUUCUUCAUAAGGGAUCAUUUUCCUGUGGAGUCUGAGUUGUCCGUGUGUCCACUUUGAUCACUGACGGGGAAUGCCAUUCCACUGAAAGUGCCUCUCAGGACUGUCCAGGGACCGCGAGCAGCGAAGGGCUCAGGUUGCAGCCACUCUCCAGGCUGGAACAAAUGCGCUACUUGGCCGUUCCUCACAUCUUGUUUCUUUAGCACUGGGAUAGGGUGGGUAAUCAAAGGUGACAAGCUUCCUCCACUCCUCUGGUGCCUCUCGCUAUGCAGGCUGGCCACAUGCACGUGAAUCUGCAGAGGCAGCUGCUGCGAGUCUCAGAUGCAGAGACUCUGAGCCACGUGGGGCUUCGUAACAUUGCUGCAAGGAAGGAAGGAAUGCCAUCAGUUGUCACAUUAUUGGAAGGAAGGAAUGUGUGUGUAGCUAGCAGAGAAAGAAGACAGAAAGUUCUGCCAACAUGAGAUUAAAUCACCUUGGGUUUGUGUAACUGAUUUGGGUUGCAUCUCUUUUAAGGAUGCUUCUCUGGUACUCAGAUACGGGGAUGGCAGAGCAAGCCCAUCCCAUGGAGGCUGGCCUACUUGCAAUUUUUUGUUCCCUGCCAUUGGUGGAGUCUCUGAGAAGCUAAAGGGGUUCAAGUACAAGCAGCAAUAACCUAAAUGUUGUGUGAUGAAGGAGGUCAGCACAGAAAGGAUGGGUGCCCUUCUUUUUGCUUUUGGUGAAUUGUAAACUACUUUUUGGAAUAAAGGUCAACAAAGGGAGUGAAA